AUCUUCUAGGUAUCACUCCUAUCCUUGGGGGACGAAGAAUCACCCAACCAAAAGAUGAAAAUGUUGCACUUUGAAUGAACUUACUUUUCCCAGUAAAGUUCAAGUUCUGGACAUCAGCUACUACAACAAGAUGCUGAGGACCGGAUUUUGCUAGAAGGGUGUGGAAGGGGAGAGACCAAAAUGCCAUGGGGCCAGGAGCACCUUUCUUCUGCAGGGCCUGUGUGGGAUGUAUGAUAGCUAUAGCUCUUGGGUAGGGGGCUCCAUUCCCAGUACGUAUUAUAUACAAGAUGACAGGGCUGUCAAUGUUGCUCCUGGAAGAAAAUGCUGCAAAAGUCAUCUGUGUGGGGGAACCCCCUGUCACAGACAGAACUUUCCUCUGAGUUGGAAAAAAAAAAUGACAUAUUUUUCAAAGGAACAUUUUAUACUCAGGAUGGCUGAAACUAUGUUGAAAGGCAUCUAGCCUUUCAUAUAUAAAAAAUAAUUUUAGAUAAACAAAACUAUAGGACCUAGAAUGAUAUAUUGGGUGAUUGAUUCAUGGUAUCCUCUAAUUUUUUUUAAUCUUAAAAAAGAAAUUUAAAAUAUGUGAUUUUUUUUUUUUAAUGAAAGAAUUUGUUUUCUCUUAACCACUUGGGUGCUAGUGAUCUUGAGCCAUGACACAGUGUAGACAGUAUUUAAAAACCUUGCACAGCACCUGGACAUAAUGCAAAUUGUCAGAUUUCAGUUAGAGUAAUAGAAUACGUGGAUUGCUGGCCCUGUUCUAUGUGGCCAUCUCUAGGAGAGGGAGGGAGGGAGGUUUUGAUUAGACUAAUGCUUUGCUGCUAAUCAAACUUAUAGUGUUUUUAGAGCACUUUGAGGAGUUCAUAGAAUCUAUGAAGCAGAAGCAAUAUUUCUAAGUCCCUUUUAUUAAAAUUAUCUGCAUUUUAAGUAAAUGUUUAUUGUUUGAUAAUUUGAAAUGAAAACAAGUUAUAUAAUAAACACAAAUUCCUUCUCUACUCCUUGAAACUGCCCAAAGAAAGAAAAAUCAGAAUGCCAAACAGUGUCCCAUCUCUAUGUAGGAAGAAUUUUUGAUGAGAGUUUAAUCUUAUUGAGUUAAAACUCCUUCUCUGCAGCUGGCUUAAAAUUUUGUUGUAAUGUCAAGAAAUCCCAUAUUGCCAAAUCAAAUUGCACUUCUACCUACUUAAAGUACAAUCCAUUCUAUAUAAUUAGUAAUCUGGAAGCUGAAAUUGUACUUUUUAUUUACUUGAGUUCUGUUCUCUUUAACUGCACUGAUAUAUUUUUAGUAUGAUUGAAUAGUUUGAAUAGUAUGAUUUAGUAUGAUUUUUCAAUGCAUUUACAGUUGUUGAAACCUAAUCUGACCUUUUGGAUAUGUAAAAUCGCCUAAUGGAAAUCUAUACUAUUUUUCAAUUAGUAUGUUUAACACUUAAAUUAUGUUCAAAUGCCUUUUAAUCAUGCAGCAGUGCCUUUGAAAAUUGCCAACAAAAUCUUUUUUUGUCAAGCCAAAUUAAUAACUAAAACACUAAUUUUUAAAUAGUAGAUAAAAAUACGGUACCAAAAACUUUCACUUUCAGCUUUCAAACUAAUUCCAUCCAUAUGUGAAAUACACAUGGAAAACACAAAUUUUAAUGAUUUGCCCAGGCAAAUUUGUAUAUGUUUCAACUUAAUGUGACCCUUUAUUAUCAUUCUUUUUAUUUUUUAAUAUGUGGGAAGGGGCACAUUUCAUUUUACAGGAGGCACAGGCCUAGAGGGGCAUAAAUUCUAAUUGUCACAGAAGCUGUGGGGUCAAAGUUUAAGCAAUCAGGUUCUUACUUGAAUGGCAAUAUAUGCAAACACAGUUUAGAAAAGAAUAGUAUUCAGAAAUCAGACCUUGGUGAGAGAAACACAUGAUUCAUUUAAGGUGUUUUAAAAUGCAUGCAGUUGACCUUAUUGAUUAGAAAGGGAGCAAUAUGUUUCUUUUAGGCCACAGGUAUUCCAUUUAUUAUGCUAGAAGCCUGUCAGAGUUAACACAAAUAAGCGAAUAAAUGUCUUUUUCAACAGGGUUUCAGGCUCAUCAACCAUGCUGAUAGAUGUACUGUUUUACUAAAAUAAUGAAUGUGCUCUGUUUGAAUUUUCCCUUAAGCUACCACAAUGACUGCAUUCACAUUUUCCCAGUUGCAUGACCAGGUCUCUAAGAAUAUUGGGCACUGGCAAGGGGACCAUUUCCACAUGGAGCCACAUCCUCACGUUCCAACCUUCAGCCAAGAAGCAUCUCCCCUCAUAAUAAAGCAAGAAUGGUCAUUUCCUUUGAUCCACAAAACGGUCUUCUGGUGCAAAGAAGUUGUUACUUGAGCUUACUUAAUAGGCUUCAUAAUCUUUUCUUGAUUGCAUUUAGUUUUUUUUUUCCUCUCAUAUAAUUUUUAAUGAUUUGUUGUGCAGUGAAAUCCCUGUGAAUUCAUUAAAUCUCUCUAAUUCCCAGUGACCAAAUACUUGCAGAGGACAGAAUUUGAAUCAGUCUCUUCAGAUAAGUUUUGAUACACAAGUGCUUCUGUUAAUUAUGUUUUGAUCCACCAGCUCUAUCUGAUUGUCUGUGCUUGAAACCUUAAUUUGCUUUUUAAAAGCAAAAUGUUCCGUUCUCAGGGAACUGCCUGCAGCAGGAUAUAUGCUUGCUGGUUUCUAACUUUGUCUUGUUCCACAUGUGUAGUCCUUAAAUGGAGAUCUCAGGAAUACUGAGUGACAUGGACACUUGGGCCCACUGCCUGUGGAUGAAUGUCAAGAAACCGGGAGAAAUGCUGCUGGUGUGGGACUGGGCAGUGUGCCCAGUGUGGGCAUUCUAAAACAGAGCCUAAUUAAGAAAUGCUGUUAUAAAAUAUACUCAAAUGAUAUAAUUAAUUAAGAGUUAAGGUCUUCCAAAUAGUACCAUCUCUAACUCAUUAAAUACUAUGAAAUUUUGAUAUUCACAAGCAACACAGGACUGGUAGAUUAUGUACAAUUCCUGCAAUGCCAUCAAUUAAUUGCCACUCAUAUUUAAGAUAUGUGAAGACAAUAAUGUUUAUCGGUCAGUCAAUUCUAUCAGUGUUAAUAUGCAUAGCACCCACAUUGCUCUUUUUGAUUUGCUAAGUUGCAAAAUUUGUUUAUUGCUUUUUCUCUCUUUCUGGAGGAUAUGUUGGGAGAAUGAUGAAGAAUCAGGCACAGUAAAUAUGCUGGGUUCCUAUAGGAAUGCCUUCAGCUUUUGUCUGAAGGCAGGAAAAUUUUUUCUAAAGGAACUUUCAUUGUUUACCUUUGUUUUUCUGUUUGUUUGUGUGUAUGGUGGUGGUACUCACGAGCAUCGGAUCAACUGGACAGGCAACACAAAGCAAACUGGGCUGAGAUAGCUUCCCAGUGCCCUAGAGAUACAGCUACAAGGGGCUCCUAAGCAAGGAAAGCUUAGGACUUGUCUUCUAGGUAGAAUUCUGUCCAAACAUGAAAUGCUUCCUGUUCAACAACUAAAUGUGAUAAUAAGUGUAUUUUGUGUAUACCUUUAUGAUAUUGUUCAGAUUGUAUUAAUUAUGCUGUGAUGGAAAGUGAGAUAAUUUUGGACAGAUUAUUUUUCCAAUAUUGAAAUGUGCUGCUGAUGUAUGCUUACCCUUGAAUGCUGUUUUUCAUAUUGAUGGGAAGACACAAAUGUCUCAGGGAAACAACUUUGUGAUGAAGUCAUUCUUAUGUGUGUCAUUACAGUUAAAAUGCACAUUGUAAAAAAUGACUGUUAUGGUUGAUCACAGUCCUGCUAUGAUGUUACUUCAAGAUUUGCCGGAGGGACAGGAAGGAUUUUAUGAUUUUGAUGGGGUGACGGAUGGAUAUUGCCAACGUACAUGUCCUGUGGGUCCAUGGGCAGUGGUGGUUGUUAAAAAUGAAGAUCACACACCCUAAAGUCACAGUAGAUGAGGAUGCACUAGGUGUUUUUUUUUUUUCACUAUACAUAUGCAGCAUUUGACUAAUCACAUAAAAAAUUCUUAAAUAUGUAUAGUCCAUUGAUUGUAUCCUGAAAGUAGAUGAACUCCACUGUAAUGGAAUCUGAAUGUGACUCCUCUAACGAGUGAGAAGCUGCCCUUUUUCUUUAUUAUUAUAAUGUGAAGCUUUCUUUGCGUUGUAUCCAGCUACUAUGUUUAAAAUAACAAAAGCAUGCUGUAGCAAUUAUUCAACUGUUUAAAUAUUGUUAUUUGGAGAUAGCUUACCUUUGUUUCCCCUGAACAAAGACAGAAGCUUUAUCUUUAUAGAAAAUUGUGGCUAACUUGCCAUUUUGACAAACAACGAAGAAGUCUGGGUGGAGGCUUGAAACUUUUGCAGAUAUGUGAAGAACUGUUCUGCAAAGUAAAUAGAGACAGGUGUGUACCAGAAAUAACAAACUGAGAGGAAGAAAUGCUUUAAGGCCACAAUACUUUUAAAUCAGACUAUGAAGGUUACUUAUAAAAUUAUAUUCUUAACCCAUGAUUUAGUUCCUACUUUUCAAGUUCCAUUAGAGUCAGGAUUCUAAAAAAGAACAUAAGGCUUGUGAAUGGCUGUUAAGGUUUAGCAAAAACCCUCUUCUCCCUGUUCUCUGUGUUUACUCCAUACUCUAGUGAAUUGGGAGGAAAUGGAGCUGGCGUAGGGUUCCUUGUGUCAUGAGAGAACAUGUAAAGUGUUUGUUUGUAUGAGCACAGCAUUACUUUGACACUGAGGGAAGUGAAUAAACAUUAAGACUCAGAAAGAAAAUCCCAAGUUGUUAAAGAAAAAAGAUCUUCCAAGGAAAUGGGAUAAAUCCCAAAUAAAAACUGUGCUUUGAAGUGAUUCCACCAGGUCUAGCAAUGCCCAGCAAGCCAUUCACUGAGAGGAGCAAUUGGCAAGGUCAAGUUAGUUUCUGGGUAGUUCCAGAAACUUGGGUGAUUCCUGCUGCUGGGUCUCCUGGAAGCAGCUGGCCAGAUCCUAGCAAGUUGACCACUUAGAACAAUAGCAGAAGCACCCCCAAGACUCCCCAGGAACAUGUUGGUGGAAGGCUUAAGACAGGGUCCUCUGAGGCAUUCUAAAAACAUCACAUACCUCCAAGAAGCAGUUGUUACUGUUUUGUUUGUUUCAGUGCUGGGGAUUGAAGCCAGGGCAUGGAGCAUGCUAAGUACAUGGUCUUCCACUAACCUAAUCCUCCAGCUCCCCCACCUGCCAAGUGCAGUCUUAUCUGCCUUUAAGUAAAUGUGGGUCUUCCCUGGGGGCUGUUUUCUUCUCAGUCUUGCAACCAUAGCCUCAGGCUUAUUUUGUCUGACAAUGGAAAUUUUAUAAGAAAUAUAUGUGAAAUUUAAAUGGACAAAUGCAGGCAGAUUUGAAUAUGCUUGCAUUAAGCUAGAUUAAAAAAGAAACACUGCAAGGUACACCAGUUGAUAAUUAGUACACCCUUUGAUAAUUAGGCCAUGGAAAAAUUUCAUCAUUUUACUCUUCCAAACUGGGAAACAAAAAACACGUAAAAGAAAAAUCUUUUGAGGGCAUUUUGCUUACUGACAUUUAGUGGAUCAAGACUGAAUUAUACUGCUUCCUGUAUUUUGUUGUUCCCAGUGGGCUGUUGGUGAGGAUCAAAAAGAAUGGAGCCAUCCUCUGAGAGGAAGCAAAGCCCCUAAUCUCUUGUUGCCCAGAGCAGCAUCUGUUUUCUGGAUGGCCCUGGGUCCAAGACAAAAAGACUUGUCCCUGCAGAAUGCAAAGACACUCUCAAUGUGCCUUCCUCCACUUUAGUCUCUAAGAUGGUAUUUUUGUUGUUAUUGUUGUUGUUGCACCAGCACCUCCUAGCCAGAUCCCUCCUGUCCUGCAAACCCUCAACCCCACUCCCAUCUAAGGAACAGACUAUUAAUUAUGUUUCCUACAGGUCACCUGUGUGUUUUCAGAUGGUGUGUUUGUAAUUCUAUAAUGGUGUGCAUGGGCAUGGAAGGCAGGGGGUGAUAUACUUCUCUGCACAGGAUUCCUGAUCGUAUCAAACCUCCCGACUCUCCUACUUGAACAGUUGAUUUUAACUUGACCAGAGUUGGAGACCCUGAAGAGAAAAGAAAGGAAAUGCCUCUAUAUAAGGAUGCAAAAGAUGCAAGCAACUGUUAUUUUUGCUAUUCCUUAAAUAUGCUCUGUAAAUGCUAAAGAAAAUUAAAAAUGUAUUUUCAAGUUACUGGAAAAUAAU
Molecule: long non-coding RNA, 6139 nt
Filed under: Marmota monax (woodchuck)
Lineage: Eukaryota; Metazoa; Chordata; Mammalia; Rodentia; Sciuridae
Source: RNAcentral